Molecule: long non-coding RNA, 640 nt
Organism: Raphanus sativus (radish)
Lineage: Eukaryota; Viridiplantae; Streptophyta; Magnoliopsida; Brassicales; Brassicaceae
Exons: 2
Source: RefSeq, a predicted model, not a curated record
GCCAUUUUCUUUUUGGUUGGGUUGGUUAGGAGAUUUAAUUUUUGAAAAUUGUUUGAUUUGAAGUUGUGGACACGAAAAUAAAGCUAUAGUUUGGGUUUUUUAUUUACCUAAAGCACGAUAAAAAAGUAUAUGGGUUAGUAAUUUUUUGUCCAUCGUUUUUUGGUAAAACACAGAGAGGUCCAUUGGAGAAAGCGACGAACGAGAUUUCCUGCAGAGGACGUUUUAACACGGAGGCUGGCGGAGAAAAAUAUGUCACCGCGAAAGAAGUGAGCUGUUAAGGAAAAGGAUAAAGAGAUGACACAAACAGAGGAGGAAGCCAUCAAGUGGAGAUUAAAUCAGAAACUCUGUUUUUUCAGUAGAAACAGAGCACCUUUACAAUCACUUCGCAUGUAUAUAAAUAACCAGAAAUUUAUCAGUUGGCAAUACAUAGCCAAAACGUAAUCCACGUGUACAUAUAUUUUUCAAAGUCUACAUGUACAAAGAUCACAAAAGCUUCAUAAUAGUAUCCACAUGUAUACUUUUUCUUAGGAACUACAUGUACACUGGAUCGCAAGAUCCAUGUAUACACAUCAAUUAUUUUAAGUUCUUGUCAUGUAAUAUGAAAUAAUUUGAAAGAAUAUUUAUUUAUUAUUGGAGAAUA